AGCAUUAAAAAAGACCGGGUGACCGUGGUGCCUGCUAAGCCUCCCUGUGCUGCACCUAUUUGGUUGGUGGGAGAGGGGUACGAGAUCUUGGCCGAGGCGUCGAAGCAGCAGCGGGGCUUUGUGAAGGACAAGAUGGCGAUGGCGGGCCGGGACGGCGGCCGUCUCUAUGAUGAAGCCUUUUCACAGACCUGUACUGAGCUCCGUGAGGAUAAGAAACUCUGAGGAGACGGGCCGUGCACAGUCGAAGUCCGACGCAGUCGGAAAACGAGGCCUUGGCAAAGUAUCCAAUGCUGACCUAAUGUCCUCUUGUCUGCAGGGUGCAGGCGCCGGAUUUAACGCUGAAGCCUGGAAAAGAGGCCUCCUGUUAGAAUGUGGUUCGGCUCAAAAGACGUUACAGGUUGGAGGAUGGGACAAGACCUACUCCUGUGCGAUUCAAGCAUUACAGUGAUGCUCCAGCAUUUCGUCACCAGUCCUGAGGAAUUCAGCUGCUUCCCAGGGUGAAUACAGGUAAUUGUUCAAAUGGAUUGGGGUGUCAUCUCUCCCGUGUUCCCCACAACCGGGAGAGCAAAUGGUCAGUGGAGCAGUGUUGCCUUUUUGCUCCUUCCAGCUUGUUCUUGGAAUGGUUUUCCUGGGGAGAGAGCAACCCAGCAGCACAGUUGGUUCUUGUGAGGGUGUGCUCUUCCCUCAUCCACAUGUCACUGUCAGAUGAUUUGAAUUGAUAUGCUGAUCCUCCAUGAGGUACGACAGUUAAUAGCAUGUUAGAGUUCUGAUGGCAGUUUCUAUUAAUGAAGAAAUUUAUUCCAUACUAGUAUCUUUUAAUAACCAUUUGCUCCCCUUUUGCAGGUCAUCCAGAUGAUAAAUUCAUCUCACGAUGCCCAGUGAUCUGCCCCAGGUCGAACUCCUGGAAGGAGUUGAGAAUGGUGAGUACUUGUAACCUUGCUGGUAUUAGCUUGACCCAGAGUCUAGUGCCAGUGAGGAAAGCAAGCAUCCCGUCUUAACCCCUGUUCUAGCCCCAGAGCCAGUAAUGGUGAACCCACUGGGGCUAACUGGGAGAGAGGAUGAGAACCUGUUCCAUAAGGAACUGUCUGAGGUACAGCAAAUGCCUGUUGGUAGCAUUUGCUUAGCAUUUCUUGGCCUGUCCACUAACCAUAGCUAGAAUAGCUUUGGCUGUUUUAGAUAUUUUGCUAAUUACAUGAUUUUCUCAUUCAGGAGCAGCUUGUUAAUGUAUACUACUGAAAAGCCUCCAGAAUUAAAAGGUGCUGUUUCCAGUAGCCUGCUUAUUUGCUCAGAGGUCCAGCACCUUGUCUGAAGCCCAAGAAUGAUUUGAGGGUGAGCAUAAGCCAUAUUUCUGCUCAACUGCGGUCUGAAGUUAGAGGACUGAAGAAAGAUCAAAGCACAUAAAAUGGAAUCCAGCUCUUAGAAGACAUCAAAAAGGGCAUUUUCAAGUUAUUUCUUAUACAACCUAGCUGUUCAAAUUGGCAUACAGCCAUUUUAGCCUUUCUAAAUAAAAGGAAUUUUUUUUAACCUUCA
Diceros bicornis minor is the source of this 1530-nucleotide long non-coding RNA. RefSeq lists it as uncharacterized. Lineage: Eukaryota; Metazoa; Chordata; Mammalia; Perissodactyla; Rhinocerotidae. The record is from RefSeq and is a predicted model, not a curated record. The transcript has 9 exons.